This 253-nucleotide ribosomal RNA is filed under the name uncultured bacterium. Its description in RNAcentral is "partial 16S ribosomal RNA". It matches the Rfam family "Bacterial small subunit ribosomal RNA", at positions 524 to 776 of the family's 1533-position model. The record is from RNAcentral.
UACGUAGGGGGCAAGCGUUGUCCGGAAUUAUUGGGCGUAAAGCGCGCGCAGGCGGUCUGUUAAGUCUGGUGUUUAAUCCCGGGGCUCAACCCCGGUACGCAUCUGGAAACUGGCAGACUUGAGUGCAGGAGAGGAAAGCGGAAUUCCACGUGUAGCGGUGAAAUGCGUAGAGAUGUGGAGGAACACCAGUGGCGAAGGCGGCUUUCUGGACUGUAACUGACGCUGAGGCGCGAAAGCGUGGGGAGCAAACAGG